UGGGGAAUAUUGCACAAUGGGGGAAACCCUGAUGCAGCGACGCCGCGUGAGCGAAGAAGGUUUUCGAAUCGUAAAGCUCUGUCCUAUGAGAAGAUAAUGACGGUAUCAUAGGAGGAAGCCCCGGCUAAAUACGUGCCAGCAGCCGCGGUAAUACGUAUGGGGCGAGCGUUGUCCGGAAUUAUUGGGCGUAAAGCGCGCGCAGGUGGUUUAGAAAGUCUGAUGUGAAAGCCCACGGCUCAACCGUGGAGGGUCAUUGGAAACUAAUAAACUUGAGUGCAGGAGAGAAAAGUGGAAUUCCUAGUGUAGCGGUGAAAUGCGUAGAGAUUAGGAGGAACACCGGUGGCGAAAGCGGAUUUUGGGCAUGCAACUGACACUGAGGCGCGAAAGCGUGGGGAGCAAACAGG
Molecule: ribosomal RNA, 404 nt
Filed under: Verrucomicrobiota bacterium
Lineage: Bacteria; Pseudomonadati; Verrucomicrobiota
Description: Verrucomicrobia bacterium partial 16S ribosomal RNA
Rfam family: Bacterial small subunit ribosomal RNA
Source: RNAcentral